UGAUCUCAUAUCAACACUAUAGCUUGUAGUAAAAACUCAUAAAAGCAGGCUUAUUACAUGAUGAAUGCAUGAGGGUACUUAGUGUUUAGUCAAACUCUGAUUUAAAGAAUCUGAAUUACAUUUGCAUUGACAUAAUAGGCUACAAAAGUAUAAUUCUCUUUUGAUGAUGACAUGUACAAUCAUUCUUAUAAUGGGGCCAUACAGCAUAGAGACGAUUAAUAACUGAUUAAUAACAAUUUGCAUUUUUCGCUUGUGUUGUCAUAUGGCUUCAGUCCAGCUCCAGUGCUCUGAUCUCAAAUUGGGCAUUGAGCUAAACAGUUCUUCUGAGAGGCGGUCCAGGCAAUCUGAUAGGCCAGUACCCUCUCUUUGUCCAAACUAUUUCAAUCGCAUUGAAAGCCCAUUUCAAAUAGAUACUGGUGAGGUCAAUGAACCUGAACUUGGUGUACCAAUAUAAUACAACUAUUAUUAUCAAAGUUAUUUUUGAGAACAGCAGUGCAAAUUACUCAUCGAGUUGCGCAACAGGACAUUUUUUGUGGGAAAUAAUGUCUAGGAGGAAAGUGCGGAAUCAACGCCCCGCUGAGAGCGAGGAGGACUCCGAUAUUGACAACCUAUUAGCCGCUCUGACACUCGCGGAGGUGGAAGAGCUGCAGAGCGAACUGACCGUUAUUGACCCGGAUCCAACUGUGCCAGUCGGACUCCGGCAGAAGAACCAGACAGACAAGCAGCCGUCAAUAAAAUACAAUAGGGGGGCAAUGCUUGACUACUGUGAGCGCGAAACCAAGAAACUCAUUCAAAGGGAGCUGUCCUUUGAGGAGCCAACAACUGACAGAGUGAAACGGGAACGCCUGAAGAAGAUGGGGAAGAGCUGUGAUAGUUUCUUCUACUUCAAGUCAGAUGACCAGGAUGACCAGGAUGUCAUGGACCUAAACUUCUCUGCUGUGGAGACCCCUAAGGAGGACAUAUCCAAGGACAAAGAGGAAAAACCUCAGAGCAAGAACUUGAAGGGUGAGGGAGGGUGUAGAGAGGGCAACGAGGAAAGGCCACAUAGUAGGUUAGGGGGAGAUGAGGACAAAGACCAUGAAAAAAAUGAAGAUAAGAUUGUUGAAAAAAGCAAUGAAGUACAGGUUGAAGAAAAUGAGAAAAAGGAGGAGUGCAUAAAAAAGGAGAAAGGUAGUAACAAAACACUUGAUCUUAUCUCAAAAUUACAAACAAAAAAAGAGGAUACAAAAGAAAAGGAGCAAAAAGAUAUCAGAAAAAAGACAGUCUCUAAAACCAAGGAUCUGAUUUCAAGGCUUCAAGGGUAUGCUGAUAAAGAUGAUACUAAGGAGAAAGAGAAGAAAGAAAAACCUCAAAAAAUGAAGGAUAGCAAGAUCGCAAGAGGAAUUUUCUCUAAAGUAGAGGAAACGCAGAAAGAACUCAGGGGUACUGAGGUGAAAGAAAAGAGGAAUAAUGAGAGGGACAAAGAUAGCGAAAACACCAAAUCACACAGGAAACCAAGUAGAGUCCAGGAUGAGACACAGAGAGACAGUGAAAAGAAGACAGAAAGGACUCCUAAUAAAAACAGUAAAGCCAGCAAUGUAAACCUAGAGAACAGCAGUAGGGAAGAACGCUCAGCUGGUGAAGUCAUGGAGGGAGACAAGGAGGACGAGGAGGCCAGCAUGUUUGAUGAGCUCCUUGAGCAUGUCAGAAAAGACGACCCUUUAAUGACUGAGCUCAAUGUCAACAACUCAGACGUCAUCAAGACCCACACCCUCAUCCAGUUUGCAGAGGCACUACAACACAACACACAUGUCAAGACGUUUGCUUUAGCCAACACCCGAGCUGACGACCAUGUGGCUUACGCCAUUGCUUGCACUCUGCGGAACAACACGUCUCUGACCAAUGUCAUCCUUGACUCCAACCACCUCACUGGCAAGGGAAUUUUGGCUGUGGUACACGCCUUAGAGAAAAAUUUAACCAUCACUGAACUGCGCUUCCACAACCAGCGACACAUCUGUGGAGGCAAGACAGAGAUGGAGAUUGCCAAUGUAUUGAGAAACAACACCAGGUUGCUGAAGCUGGGCUACGGAUUUGAACUGGCCGGCCCAAGGAUGACCAUGACCAACAUCCUGAGUCGGAACAUGGACCUGCAGAGGCAACGUCGACUGGAGGAGAAGAAACAAGCACAAGCCCAGCCAUCCCAGCAGCCUCAGCCAUACCAGCCAACACGUCAGACACCACAACCACAGACCAACACAAAAAAGAACACAUUGCCUUUGGGGAAGUUUUCUUGCGAACCUUCAACUCAACCCCAAUCCAAGUCUAUUGGUGAGACUAAGAGGACAGGAAACCUCCUGAAAACAUCCCCCUUUUUGUUCUCCCCUAAACCCUCACCUGAACCCUUCCACAAGGUGAGCCCCAAAGCUGUGGGUAAGCUAAACCCUAAGGCUUGGGGUAGUAGGUCUGGACCAGGGUCUACAACACCUUUACCUCAGGCAGGGGAUGGUGUAUCUGGUCCUGGGUCUACACCACCUCCACCUCAGGCUCUUAAGGCUGGCCGAUCUGGACCAGCACCACCUCCUCCCCCUGCCCCAAUGUUGGAGGGCCUAAGGAAAGCCCUCAUGCCUGCCUCACAGAGGAAACUCAACAGGCAGACUUCACGCCACGGAGAGAGGAACACUAGGGACCAGUUGCUGGACUCCAUUCGCAACAGCACAAUGAAAGCUCUAAAAAAGGUUGAUGUUCCAAAGCUGCUUCAGUAAAGGGUGGGGAUGACGGCAAGAAGAGGUUGGACUUGAUACAAAAACAGAACAGCAUUUGUUUUACAUUAGUAGACCGGGGUGAAGCCCUGCCUCUGUUGUUGCUGCUGAGAUAUGGAGAGAUAUCUGAUCCAGUUGGUACUUCGAGCCAGAAGGUGGUUAUGGUGGUUUGUAAUCAUACAAAGUGAAAGCAUCUUAGGCUACAUUGCCUGCUGACUUCAGUCUCCCUCAGUUGAAUCUCUCCCUCCUGUUCUCCCGAGAUGCCCAUAUUUGGUCAUUGCAUUGAAGAUACAUUAUGACGUAAGAAUAACUCCUCUGUUCUUUUUAAUUACUGGAUGAUGGCCAGUUGGAUGUCCUGCUCUUUCAUGUGAGGCUUUGUCCGGCGAAGAGGUGGGGAGAAUGGGGGAGGUGCACGGCGGAAAGGGAAUAGUUAAAAGGGGACGAGCAACUGGAAGGAAAUGCUUACACAUUGCAAGUCACCGUAUUUUCUUAUUUUCAAAUGUUACGUGGCCAUAAGCACAAUGAACGAGGGCAUUUGUUUGAUGUUUAUUUAAAGACAUUUUUCCAGUGUCACUACAAAGGAUGUAAUUAAACAUUUAACCAAACACAUACUGUAGCUAGUAUUGAACACACAAUUUGUAUAUGAAGUGCGUGUGGGUUCAUAAUCUGGUCAAUGUGUAAUAUAACAGCAGCCAAUCUCUCUGUUAGUUGUCCAUAGGGAUACAAACUGCUUACAACAUGCAUGUAUGAGGCACUUCCCUAGAGCUGGCAGGAGAACUCUUGAACUUUGCAAGCAUUUCACUAUGAUGGAUUGUGUCCUGAGAGGGAAGGGAAUAUAUUUUGGGAAUAGUUAGUGCUAUCUGGGAUCCUUGGGACAUCCCGUCCCUAUCCUAAAUCCUAACCCCAACCUUAACUCUUACCUUAAGCAUUUUACAUUUCAUCUUCAAUGGGGUAGUUGGAAUAGCAAAACUCCCGGAUAGCAAGGACCUUUUGAGAAGGUUUUGAGAAUGUUGUGUUUUGAAUUCACCCAUGAGGUGUACCGUACAGAUGUUUUACGUCAUGAAAAUAUACCAAGACAAUUCUGAAAUGUAUUUACAGAACCAAACAAAACAUAUUAAUAUGUCUGGUUUCGAGAAUGCAUCCGAUAGCUAAUAACCAGGUCAUUAAAUUCCUCCAGAUGAACAAUUGUGGAAUAUUCCGUCUGUUUUAGAUGUCUACAUCCGCCUUAUAGAGGCUUUUGAUUCAACAAAAGUAGCACCUGUCUGUAGCACUUCCUUCCUGAAAUGUUGCAAUCAGUUUAUAUUUUUCACUUCCUUAAGUAAGACAAAAACAGCCCUGAGCCACUGCAAAUGAUGCUGCUCAAUGGAGACUGAUACGGUGACAGUAGGAGCAUUCGGGAGAAAAGUGGGUCUGUCCUCACAUGUAGAGUAUCUGUGGUGAAAUUAUUUUACAACUCAAAACAUGAAAAUCUAUCUGAAGUUUCUCCUUUACUUGCCAGUUUUAUGCUGUGAUGCAAAAAUGAGCAAAUUUGGAGCGCACGGAUAUGAAGGUGGAGCUUUAGACAUUGAGUGUUCAUAUCCAGAUGGAUAUCAAUAUAAACCCAAAUACUUGUGUCGCCAUCCCUGUUCCAACAGUGACAUUCUCAUCAGAAGUGUGAAGGGUGAAGCAUUUGUCCCAGUAGGAAGAUUUUCAGUAUAUGACAAUGUCCAUGGAUGUACUUUCAUUGUCAGCAUCCAAAACCUGGAAUUACAGGACUCUGGACAUUAUUAUUGUGGACUUGAUAAGUGGGGAAGAGAUGUUUUAACAAAAGUAGAGAUCUCUGUGAGUAAAGCUCCAUUGGUCACUUCACUGUCUACACCUGCCCCUGUGAUUGACAGGAAGGACCCCACUGAGACUAACAAAUAUGUUUCCUCAGAGGUCCCCACCUUUACACAGUUGCCAUACAAAAAGUUACCUGUUGCAGAUUGGGAUGUCACACCUCCAACAACCUCAACUAUUCGGAUUGGUAGCCCAGGCUUUGUACAUGUCCACGUUGUUGUGGGAGCUGUCCUUGGACUAUUGAUGUGUUGCACUGUGGUUGCACUUGGCCUACUCCUCAGAAAACAAUCAAUGUCACGCUCACUGACAUUUCCAUCAUCUGAAGUAUCAGAUCCUGUAGAUAUUGCACAGGAUGAAGAGGACACUUGUCAUGUGUAUGAUGAGAUAAUUAUGUACAGCUCCAACAGUGACUUGUACUGCACCAUUAGGUUUUGUGAAACCCCACCGGAAAUAGAAGACAAUGCUCUCUACUCCCUCCUGACACUAAAUGAACAAAGACCUCAGUGAGGGUCACAAGUCUCUAAUCAACAGAGGGCAUUCUCAUAACACUGCCAACACAUUGAUGGUGGAUGUGCAGUAUCAUUAUUGCUAUUAUGUGUGUGUGCGUGCGUGCGUACAUACGUACGUGUGUGUGUGUGUGUGUGUGUGUGGUUUACAGUUGAAGAUUGUCAGAUGUUUUCACUGUUUCCCUGCAUCUGUUUCCUCUGAUACAGUGCCUAGUGAAAAUUAAAAAAAUAUAGAACAUU
Molecule: RNA transcript, 5302 nt
Organism: Salvelinus fontinalis (brook trout)
Lineage: Eukaryota; Metazoa; Chordata; Actinopteri; Salmoniformes; Salmonidae
Gene name: leiomodin-1-like
Exons: 9
Source: RefSeq, a predicted model, not a curated record